GGUGUAGGUGGCUUUGUAAGUCAGAUGUGAAAGCCCAGGGCUCAACCCUGGAAGUGCAUUUGAUACUGCGAAGCUUGAGUGUGGGAGAGGCUACUGGAAUACCUGGUGUAGUGGUGAAAUACGUAGAUAUCAGGUGGAACACCGGAGGCGAAGGCGGGUAGCUGGCCCAACACUGACACUCAGACCCGAAAGCGUGGGGAUCAAACA
This 207-nucleotide ribosomal RNA is filed under the name uncultured delta proteobacterium. RNAcentral describes it as "partial 16S ribosomal RNA". It matches the Rfam family "Bacterial small subunit ribosomal RNA", at positions 568 to 774 of the family's 1533-position model. Lineage: Bacteria; Deltaproteobacteria. The record is from RNAcentral.